AAUAGAUACCCAGGUAGUCCACGCCGUAAACGAUGAGUGCUAAGUGUUAGAGGGUUUCCGCCCUUUAGUGCUGCAGCUAACGCAUUAAGCACUCCGCCUGGGGAGUACGGCCGCAAGGCUGAAACUCAAAGGAAUUGACGGGGGCCCGCACAAGCGGUGGAGCAUGUGGUUUAAUUCGAAGCAACGCGAAGAACCUUACCAGGUCUUGACAUCCUCUGCCAACCCUAGAGAUAGGGCGUUCCCCUUCGGGGGACAGAGUGACAGGUGGUGCAUGGUUGUCGUCAGCCCGUGUCGUGAGAUGUUGGGUUAAGUCCCGCAACGAGCGCAACCCUUGAUCUUAGUUGCCAGCAUUCAGUUGGGCACUCUAAGGUGACUGCCGGUGACAAACCGGAGGAAGGUGGGGAUGACGUCAAAUCAUCAUGCCCCUUAUGACCUGGGCUACACACGUGCUACAAUGGAUGGUACAAAGAGCUGCGAACCCGCGAGGGUAAGCGAAUCUCAUAAAGCCAUUCUCAGUUCGGAUUGUAGG
RNAcentral lists this ribosomal RNA (529 nucleotides) under uncultured bacterium. RNAcentral describes it as "bacterial SSU rRNA". It matches the Rfam family "Bacterial small subunit ribosomal RNA", at positions 777 to 1304 of the family's 1533-position model. The record is from RNAcentral.